Molecule: ribosomal RNA, 492 nt
Filed under: uncultured bacterium
Lineage: Bacteria
Description: partial 16S ribosomal RNA
Rfam family: Bacterial small subunit ribosomal RNA
Source: RNAcentral
AGUGAACGCUGGCGGUAGGCCUAACACAUGCAAGUCGAACGGCAGCACAGUAAGAGCUUGCUCUUACGGGUGGCGAGUGGCGGACGGGUGAGGAAUACAUCGGAAUCUACUUUUUCGUGGGGGAUAACGUAGGGAAACUUACGCUAAUACCGCAUACGACCUACGGGUGAAAGCAGGGGAUCUUCGGACCUUGCGCGAUUGAAUUAGCCGAUGUCGGAUUAGCUAGUUGGCGGGGUAAAGGCCCACCAAGGCGACGAUCCGUAGCUGAUCUGAGAGGAUGAUCAGCCACACUGGAACUGAGACACGGUCCAGACUCCUACGGGAGGCAGCAGUGGGGAAUAUUGGACAAUGGGCGCAAGCCUGAUCCAGCCAUACCGCGUGGGUGAAGAAGGCCUUCGGGUUGUAAAGCCCUUUUGUUGGGAAAGAAAAGCAGCAGGUUAAUACCCCGCUGUUCUGACGGUACCCAAAGAAUAAGCACCGGCUAACUUCGUG